RNAcentral lists this ribosomal RNA (301 nucleotides) under uncultured bacterium. RNAcentral describes it as "partial 16S ribosomal RNA". It matches the Rfam family "Bacterial small subunit ribosomal RNA", at positions 509 to 807 of the family's 1533-position model. The record is from RNAcentral.
CAGUCGCCACGGUAAUACGUAGGGUGCAAGCGUUGUCCGGAAUUAUUGGGCGUAAAGAGCUCGUAGGCGGUUUGUCGCGUCUGCUGUGAAAUCUGGGGGCUCAACCCCCAGCCUGCAGUGGGUACGGGCAGACUAGAGUGCGGUAGGGGAGAUUGGAAUUCCUGGUGUAGCGGUGGAAUGCGCAGAUAUCAGGAGGAACACCGAUGGCGAAGGCAGAUCUCUGGGCCGUAACUGACGCUGAGGAGCGAAAGCAUGGGGAGCGAACAGGAUUAGAUACCCCCGUAGUCCCUGUCUCUUAUAC